RNAcentral lists this long non-coding RNA (1638 nucleotides) under Homo sapiens (human). RNAcentral's name for it is "long non-coding RNA NONHSAT170685.1". The record is from RNAcentral. Lineage: Eukaryota; Metazoa; Chordata; Mammalia; Primates; Hominidae.
CUGGCCAACAUGGUGAAACCCCGUCUCUACUAAAAAUACAAAAAUUAGCUGGGCGCGGUGGCACGCGCCUGUAGUCCCUGCUACUUGGGAGGCUGACGCAGGAGAAUUGCUUGAACCUGGGAGGCAGAGGUUGCAGUGAGCCGAGAUCACGCCACUGCACUCCAGCCUGGAGACAGAGUGAGACUCCGUCAAAAAAAAAAAAAAAAAAAAAAAAAAAAGGAACCGGGCUACAAUCACAAGUGUCAGCGGGAUGUGACUAACCUAAAACCCCACACAGCACUUUGGGAGGCCGAGGAGGGUGGAUCACCUGAGGUCAGGAGUUCGAGACCAGCCUGGCCAACAUGGUGAAACCCCAUCUCUACUAAAAAUACAAAAAUUAGCCCAGCAUGGUGGCACAUGCUUGUAAUCCCAGCUACUUGGGAGGCUGAGGCAGGAGAAUUGCUUGAACCUGGGAGGCAGAGGUUGCAGUGAACUGAGAUCACGCCACUGCACUCCAGCCCGGGCAACAGAGUGAGACUCUGUCUCAAAAAUAAAUAAAUAAAUCCCUACACAAUGCUCUCACUUUAGAAAACAUUAAGCCUUUAUUUCCUUGUUUUGUAAAUAAAGCUGGCUGAGUUGGUUGUUUUUUGAUGAUUAGUCAAAGAGACCAAAUCCCAUAUCCUCACCCAGCUCCUCCACCUCUUCCUUGGCUUCAACCUUAGCUGGGGCUGCAGCAGCGGGAGCAGCCGUGGUGGCAACAGCCACAGAGGCAAUAGCCACAAAUGCAGAUGGAUCAGCCAAGAAGGCCUUGACCUUUCCAGCAAGUGGGAAGGUAUAAUCAGUCUCCACAGAGCCAGGGCUCAUUUGUACCCACUGAUGAUAGAAUGGGGUACUGAUGCAACAGGUGGGUAGCCAGUCUGCAGACAGACACUGGCAACAUCGCGGACAACCUUCAGGAAGCAAGAAGGAAGUUUCCUCUGUGAUGUCAAGCACUUCAGGGUUGUAGAUGCUGCCAUUGUCAGAUGCCUGCUGGAUGACCAGCGCAAAGGAGGAGGGAGAAAUGCUCGGCGUGUUCAGCAGCGUGGCUUUGUUGGCUCCCACUUUGUCUCCAGUCUUGAUCAGCUGCACAUCACUCAGGAUUUCAAUGGUGCCCCUGGAGAUUUUAGUGGUGAUUCCUAAAGCCUGGAAAAAGGAGGUUUUCUCUGGCCCCAGACCAGUGUUCUGGGCUGGCACAGUGACUUCACAUGGGGCAAUGGGACCAGCACAGGUGGCAGCUGGCACCUUACUAGCCAGCAACAUGUCCUUGAUUUCAGUGAGGUCCUCCUUGGUGAAUGCAAAGCCCACAUUCCCCCAGAUAUGAGGCAGCAGUUUCUCCAGAGCUGGGUUGUUUUCCAGGUGCCCUCAGAUGGCCGUGAGCAUCAUGGUGUUCUUGUCCAUCAGCACCACGGCCUUCUCUCAGAGGGACAUGCAGAUCUGCUGCGUCUGCUUGGAGCCCACAUUGCUGCUCCCACGAUGAAACAUUUUGGAUAAUCAUCCAAAAGCUGGAUGAUCUUGAAGUAGUUGGACUUCCAGGUCAUCCUGUCUUCCCUGGGCAUCACGGCAGUGCAUCAGGGAUUGCCACGCAGGGUUUAAAGACAAUGUCACUUUCACGAGGAUGCC